This 610-nucleotide ribosomal RNA is filed under the name Hygrotus turbidus. RNAcentral describes it as "SSU rRNA". It matches the Rfam family "Eukaryotic small subunit ribosomal RNA", at positions 22 to 602 of the family's 1831-position model. RNAcentral also lists the same sequence under 7 other names. Lineage: Eukaryota; Metazoa; Arthropoda; Insecta; Coleoptera; Dytiscidae. The record is from RNAcentral.
AGUCAUAUGCUUGUCUCAAAGAUUAAGCCAUGCAUGUCUCAGUACAAGCCUAAUUAAGGUGAAACCGCGAAAGGCUCAUUAAAUCAGUUAUGGUUCCUUAGAUCGUACCCACAUUUACUUGGAUAACUGUGGUAAUUCUAGAGCUAAUACAUGCAAACAGAGCUCCGACCGGAGACGGGAGGAGUGCUUUUAUUAGAUCAAAACCAAUCGGCGGCGGGCGCGUUCGCGCGUCCGUUCGCCGCUCAAACUGGUGACUCUGAAUAACUUUCCGCUGAUCGCACGGUCUCGCACCGGCGACGCAUCUUUCAAAUGUCUGCCUUAUCAACUGUCGAUGGUAGGUUCUGCGCCUACCAUGGUCGUAACGGGUAACGGGGAAUCAGGGUUCGAUUCCGGAGAGGGAGCCUGAGAAACGGCUACCACAUCCAAGGAAGGCAGCAGGCGCGCAAAUUACCCACUCCCGGCACGGGGAGGUAGUGACGAAAAAUAACGAUACGGGACUCAUCCGAGGCCCCGUAAUCGGAAUGAGUACACUUUAAAUCCUUUAACGAGGAUCAAUUGGAGGGCAAGUCUGGUGCCAGCAGCCGCGGUAACUCCAGCUCCAAUAGCGUAU